AGCAUGCACCUGGGGUGUCGCAGCCGUGGUCUCUGCGUUUUUGGGGAACGUGCUGGGUCUGGAGAGGACUGACAGAUGAGCAGCUACAAUGGGGAAGCUAUUGGAAACUAAGACCCCUGAGAAAACUACAUAAAAUGUAGAGGAAGUCAGCUGAGACGCAUACUCACAGGCAGCCCUGAGCAGAUAACCAGCGGGACAGGAGAGAGACCCUCCCUGCUCCAGCCGAAGUCUCCUCCCUUCCUGACUCUUCCUGCUGCUGCCUCCACCGCUGUGAGCCUCAAGGGUGUCAAACUGCCAGGUCCCUGGGUCGGCUGGGGACAUUUUGCACUUUCAUCUACUGAUCGAUUCUACAAAGGUCAGCGGACCACCUGCUGCAGUCCAGACUCUGUGCUGGCAACUAGGAGUACAAUCAGAGCCAAACACAUCUUCCCUGCCCUGUGCUGAACUUGCUGUAUUUAAAGAUGAUUAUAUUAAAGGAUGAUGAGCACAGAGACGGCAGCAACAGAGGAUGCAAACGGGCGACUUGGAAAGGGAACUGAACAAGUAUUUGUGGGAUUAAGCAAGGAUUUUGGUGGAAACUACAUGGAGGCUGGGUCAGAGGACUGGUGGAAGAACAGCUGGAAAGUUCAAGGAACUGAUGCUCAAAUGGUGGAGACAAGUCAUGAGUCCGCGGAGGUGAGAAACCGCCAGACCCCACAAGACAAUCUAAGUCGUGCGAAUGAGCUUGACAUUUCUCCUGCACAAGCUCUUGGAGGCUUGGAAGCAGGAGAGUGACACGAGGCUGCUGUCACUCUGUCCAGAUAAAGACGGUCAAACAUAAGGAUAUUGGACAUAAUUUUAGCAUGCUUUAAAAUAUUACAAAGCCCGAAGGCCUUCUUAAUUCUGGGAAUGGUCAUCCAGAGAUACUAUGAAAUAUCUGUUUCUAGACCUUUAUUUUGUAAUUAUAGUCGAUGAUUAAACCAUGUACAUGCUUCAAAAUUCUAAAGGGCACAAGAUUAAAGUCAAUGAAAACUAAAUCUUCCCCACCUAGACCCCAUGGUUUCUUUCUGUUUCUUAUGAAUCAUUUCAAAGAGAUAGUCAGUCUCUUCCAUUUCUUUCUCCCCUCUUCCCUCUCUCUCUUUCCCCAUAUUUCUCCCCUUUCCCCUCUCUUUCUCAAAAAAUAAAUAUUUUGUUACACAGAUGGUAACAUAGUAAUCACACUGCUUUGUUGCGUUUUUCAUAUAUUUCUUGGAGAUCAU
Molecule: non-coding RNA, 1238 nt
Organism: Microcebus murinus (gray mouse lemur)
Lineage: Eukaryota; Metazoa; Chordata; Mammalia; Primates; Cheirogaleidae
Source: RefSeq, a predicted model, not a curated record